This 660-nucleotide ribosomal RNA is filed under the name uncultured bacterium. RNAcentral's name for it is "bacterial SSU rRNA". It matches the Rfam family "Bacterial small subunit ribosomal RNA", at positions 94 to 788 of the family's 1533-position model. The record is from RNAcentral.
AGUGGCGGACGGGUGAGUAACGCGUGAGAAUCUGCCUUGGGGUCGGGGACAACCACUGGAAACGGUGGCUAAUACCGGAUAAGCCGAUUGGUGAAAGAUUUAUUGCCCGAAGAGGAGCUCGCGUCUGAUUAGCUAGUUGGUGAGGUAAGAGCUCACCAAGGCAGCGAUCAGUAGCUGGUCUGAGAGGACGAUCAGCCACACUGGGACUGAGACACGGCCCAGACUCCUACGGGAGGCAGCAGUGGGGAAUUUUCCGCAAUGGGCGAAAGCCUGACGGAGCAAGACCGCGUGAGGGAGGAAGGCUCUUGGGUUGUAAACCUCUUUUCUCAGGGAAGAAGCUCUGACGGUACCUGAGGAAUCAGCCUCGGCUAACUCCGUGCCAGCAGCCGCGGUAAUACGGAGGAGGCAAGCGUUAUCCGGAAUUAUUGGGCAUAAAGCGUCCGCAGGUGGCGAUUCAAGUCUGCUGUCAAAGCACGGGGCUUAACUCCGUAAAGGCAGUGGAAACUGAAUAGCUAGAGUGCCGUAGGGGUAGAGGGAAUUCCCGGUGUAGCGGUGAAAUGCGUAGAGAUCGGGAAGAACAUCGGUGGCGAAAGCGCUCUACUGGACGGCAACUGACACUCAGGGACGAAAGCUAGGGGAGCGAAUGGGAUUAGAUACCCC